Molecule: ribosomal RNA, 452 nt
Filed under: uncultured Planctomycetota bacterium
Lineage: Bacteria; Pseudomonadati; Planctomycetota
Description: bacterial SSU rRNA
Rfam family: Bacterial small subunit ribosomal RNA
Source: RNAcentral
UGACGAAGCGACGCCGCGUGGAUGAAGAAGGCCUUCGGGUUGUAAAAUCCUGUCAGGAGUUAGGAAAUGUAAGUUUGAUAAUACCAAAUUUACUUGACAAAGGCUCCAAAGGAAGCCACGGCUAACUCUGUGCCAGCAGCCGCGGUAAUACAGAGGUGGCGAGCGUUGUUCGGAAUUAUUGGGCGUAAAGAGCACGUAGGUGGAUUUGUAAGUCAGAUGUGAAAGCCUUCUGUUCAACGGAAGAAUUGCAUCUGAAACUACAAACCUUGAGUAUAGGAGGGGAGAGUGGAACUUCUGGUGGAGCGGUGAAAUGCGUAGAUAUCAGAAGGAACGCCGGCGGCGAAAGCGACUCUCUGGCCUAUUACUGACACUGAGUGUGCGAAAGCUAGGGGAGCAAACGGGAUUAGAUACCCCGGUAGUCCUAGCCGUAAACGAUGGGCACUAAGUAGAGG